AUAAACGCAAUGACAUGGAAUAUUAAGCGCAAGACUCCUCACAGAGAGAUGCCAUAGGCUGAAAGGCAUCAGGAAAGUUAAACGCCGAACUCGCCAUCGAGCGGCUGUGCCGAACACAACAAGUAGGUUCAGACGGAAGCAACCGUUAUUUUGCAGGAAUAUGAAGUAUUCCAUGAGUGCAUUCCGAUAGGAAUGAAAAAGAGUGGUACCACGGAAGUUUGUCCUUUCGUCUCUUAU
Molecule: non-coding RNA, 237 nt
Filed under: Ruminococcus sp.
Lineage: Bacteria; Bacillati; Bacillota; Clostridia; Eubacteriales; Oscillospiraceae
Description: T-box sequence
Rfam family: T-box leader
About the family: Uncharged tRNA acts as the effector for transcription antitermination of genes in the T-box leader family. T-boxes are found upstream of many aminoacyl-tRNA synthetase genes and some amino acid biosynthetic genes usually in Gram-positive bacteria.
Source: RNAcentral